This 350-nucleotide ribosomal RNA is filed under the name uncultured bacterium. RNAcentral's name for it is "bacterial SSU rRNA". It matches the Rfam family "Bacterial small subunit ribosomal RNA", at positions 565 to 913 of the family's 1533-position model. The record is from RNAcentral.
GCGUGAGUAGGUGGUUUCUUAAGUCUGCUGUGAAAGCCCCGGGCUCAACCUGGGAAUUGCAGUGGAUACUGGGGAGCUAGAGUGCGGUAGAGGGUAGUGGAAUUCCCGGUGUAGCGGUGAAAUGCGUAGAGAUCGGGAGGAACACCAGUGGCGAAGGCGGCUACCUGGACCAGCACUGACACUGAGUCACGAAAGCGUGGGGAGCAAACAGGAUUAGAUACCCUGGUAGUCCACGCCCUAAACGAUGCGAACUGGAUGUUGGGUGCAACUUGGCACUCAGUAUCGAAGCUAACGCGUUAAGUUCGCCGCCUGGGGAGUGCGGUCGCAAGACUGAAACUCAAAGGAAUUGA